RNAcentral lists this ribosomal RNA (477 nucleotides) under uncultured Anoxybacillus sp. Its description in RNAcentral is "bacterial SSU rRNA". It matches the Rfam family "Bacterial small subunit ribosomal RNA", at positions 907 to 1382 of the family's 1533-position model. Lineage: Bacteria; Bacillati; Bacillota; Bacilli; Caryophanales; Anoxybacillaceae. The record is from RNAcentral.
UGAAUUGACGGGGCCCGCACAAGCGGUGGAGCAUGUGGUUUAAUUCGAUGCAACGCGAAGAACCUUACCAGGUCUUGACAUCCCCUGACAACCCGAGAGAUCGGGCGUUCCCCCUUCGGGGGACAGGGUGACAGGUGGUGCAUGGUUGUCGUCAGCUCGUGUCGUGAGAUGUUGGGUUAAGUCCCGCAACGAGCGCAACCCUCGACCUUAGUUGCCAGCAUUCAGUUGGGCACUCUAAGGUGACUGCCGGCUAAAAGUCGGAGGAAGGUGGGGAUGACGUCAAAUCAUCAUGCCCCUUAUGACCUGGGCUACACACGUGCUACAAUGGGCGGUACAAAGGGUCGCGAACCCGCGAGGGGGAGCCAAUCCCAAAAAGCCGCUCUCAGUUCGGAUUGCAGGCUGCAACUCGCCUGCAUGAAGCCGGAAUCGCUAGUAAUCGCGGAUCAGCAUGCCGCGGUGAAUACGUUCCCGGGCCUU